GUCGAGGGGUAUAGUUCUUCGGAAUUAGAGACCGGCGCACGGGUGCGUAACGCGUAUGCAAUCUACCUUUCACAGAGGGAUAGCCCAGAGAAAUUUGGAUUAAUACCUCAUAGUAUAGUGAUACCGCAUGGUACUACUAUUAAAGUCACAACGGUGAAAGAUGAGCAUGCGUCCCAUUAGCUAGUUGGUAAGGUAACGGCUUACCAAGGCUACGAUGGGUAGGGGUCCUGAGAGGGAGAUCCCCCACACUGGUACUGAGACACGGACCAGACUCCUACGGGAGACAGCAGUGAGGAAUAUUGGACAAUGGGCGCAAGCCUGAUCCAGCCAUGCCGCGUGCAGGAUGACGGUCCUAUGGAUUGUAAACUGCUUUUGCACAGGAAGAAACAACUCUACGUGUAGAGUCUUGACGGUACUGUGAGAAUAAGGAUCGGCUAACUCCGUGCCAGCAGCCGCGGUAAUACGGAGGAUCCAAGCGUUAUCCGGAAUCAUUGGGUUUAAAGGGUCCGUAGGCGGUUUGGUAAGUCAGUGGUGAAAGCCCAUCGCUCAACGGUGGAACGGCCAUUGAUACUGCCAGACUUGAAUUAUUAGGAAGUAACUAGAAUAUGUAGUGUAGCGGUGAAAUGCUUAGAGAUUACAUGGAAUACCAAUUGCGAAGGCAGGUUACUACUAAUGGAUUGACGCUGAUGGACGAAAGCGUGGGUAGCGAACAGGAUUAGAUACCCUGGUAGUCCACGCCGUANACGAUGGAUACUAGCUGUUGGGAGCGAUCUCAGUGGCUAAGCGAAAGUGAUAAGUAUCCCACCU
This 807-nucleotide ribosomal RNA is filed under the name uncultured bacterium. RNAcentral's name for it is "bacterial SSU rRNA". It matches the Rfam family "Bacterial small subunit ribosomal RNA", at positions 61 to 874 of the family's 1533-position model. The record is from RNAcentral.